GAUGAACGCUGGCGGCGUGCCUAAUACAUGCAAGUCGAGCGAACAGACGAGGAGCUUGCUCCUCUGACGUUAGCGGCGGACGGGUGAGUAACACGUGGAUAACCUACCUAUAAGACUGGGAUAACUUCGGGAAACCGGAGCUAAUACCAGAUAAUAUAUUGAACCGCAUGGUUCAAUAGUUAAAGACGGUUUUGCUGUCACUUAUAGAUGGAUCCGCGCCGCAUUAGCUAGUUGGUAAGGUAACGGCUUACCAAGGCAACGAUGCGUAGCCGACCUGAGAGGGUGAUCGGCCACACUGGAACUGAGACACGGUCCAGACUCCUACGGGAGGCAGCAGUAGGGAAUCUUCCGCAAUGGGCGAAAGCCUGACGGAGCAACGCCGCGUGAGUGAUGAAGGUCUUCGGAUCGUAAAACUCUGUUAUUAGGGAAGAACAAAUGUGUAAGUAACUAUGCACGUCUUGACGGUACCUAAUCAGAAAGCCACGGCUAACUACGUG
This 497-nucleotide ribosomal RNA is filed under the name uncultured bacterium. RNAcentral's name for it is "partial 16S ribosomal RNA". It matches the Rfam family "Bacterial small subunit ribosomal RNA", at positions 28 to 507 of the family's 1533-position model. The record is from RNAcentral.